Molecule: ribosomal RNA, 500 nt
Filed under: uncultured bacterium
Lineage: Bacteria
Description: partial 16S ribosomal RNA
Rfam family: Bacterial small subunit ribosomal RNA
Source: RNAcentral
AUUGAACGCUGGCGGCAUGCCUUACACAUGCAAGUCGAACGGUAACGGGUCCUUCGGGAUGCCGACGAGUGGCGAACGUGUGAGUAAUAUAUCGGAACGUGCCCAGUAGUGGGGGAUAACCGCUCGCAAGAGCAGCUAAUACCGCAUACGACCUGAGGGGGAAAGGGGGGGAGCGCAAGACCUCUCGCUACUGGAGCGGCCGAUAUCAGAUUAGCUAGUUGGGGGGGUAAAGGCCUACCAAGGCAACGAUCUGUAGUUGGUCUGAGAGGACGACCAGGCACACUGGGACUGAGACACGGCCCAGACUCCUACGGGAGGCAGCAGUGGGGAAUUUUGGACAAUGGGCGCAAGCCUGAUCCAGCAAUGCCGCGUGCAGGAAGAAGGCCUUCGGGUUGUAAACUGCUUUUGUCAGGGAAGAAAUCUUCUGGGCUAAUACCCCGGGAGGAUGACGGUACCUGAAGAAUAAGCACCGGCUAACUACGUGCCAGCAGCCGCCGCGG